UAGCCAUGUUGUGGGCAGCGACGUAAUAAGUCUUUGAAUCACUCCCAUGCUUCAUAAAGUUGCUCCGAAUCAAGCUGUCUAAAUUGCCCAAUCUCACUCUUCAACUG
Molecule: small nucleolar RNA, 107 nt
Organism: Cannabis sativa
Lineage: Eukaryota; Viridiplantae; Streptophyta; Magnoliopsida; Rosales; Cannabaceae
Source: RefSeq, a predicted model, not a curated record